GGAGGGUUGGCCGAGCGGCCGAAGGCACCGCACUGAUACUGCGGCGGAGGUGCAAAUCUCUCAGGGGUUCGAAUCCCCUACCCUGGG
RNAcentral lists this transfer RNA (87 nucleotides) under Cutibacterium avidum. Its description in RNAcentral is "tRNA-Ile". It matches the Rfam family "tRNA". From Rfam's summary of the family: Transfer RNA (tRNA) molecules are approximately 80 nucleotides in length. Lineage: Bacteria; Bacillati; Actinomycetota; Actinomycetes; Propionibacteriales; Propionibacteriaceae. RNAcentral also lists the same sequence under 4 other names. The record is from RNAcentral.